CUUUUUACUGCUACUGCAAAAUUGUUGUCUGAUUUCAACUAUACCAAUCGAUUCUAUAUCAAUGGAAAUUUCGUUUUCUUACUGGGUCUCUGAGUCUCCGACUGGAAUUCAACUAUACCAAUCGAUUCUACGAUAAUUGAUUCGAUCACCAUGUUCGUCGACUACGUUGGUCUUGCCACGCUUCAGCAGCUCGGUGUUUUGAAGUAGAGCUCAAGAGCCAUUGAUUCAGGCAGUGAGAUAGAGGUUGAAUUAAGAACAAGUUCCAUCUUUUGCCGAGAAAAAUGGCUCUCUCCGACGAACUGCAAAUUCUUCUGCGGCGGAUUCCCUUAUCGGCUAUUCAAUUCCAAAUAAGCUAAGAGGAAGAACUUGAAUUCUUUGUAAUUGGAAGUUUUCCAUCAUAUGUGCUCUUCAUAACGUCUGGCUUCUUCACUAUCCGAGCUCCUGUUGGAACUUUUCGGGUCUUUGGACGAAUAUCCUGCGUGUGCACAUAAGAAAAUCAUUUGAUGUUUGGCAUUUUCCAUUGUUGAGGAAUUGAUGUAAAGAAGAGAGCAAGCUCAGGUGUAGUCGUAAAGAACAGAGGACUGUAACUUCAAACCUGAUCAAAGAUGGCAGUGGGUAUUGCAAGUGUAGCAACGGCAUUUGGAGAAUCGACUAUACCGGAUAUUCUUCCUUCGCAUGGACAGCAUGAGAGUUCUGUGAGACACAUCUUGUUGCGGAGAUCAGUACCUGUUCUUUUGAGUAACCGAAUUUGAAGAGAUAGUCUAUAGCGUUGAGAACUGCUCGUUUGUAUGCAACUGUUGCAUCUAGGUAAUGUUGUCUUCCGCUCUCAUCGACACUGAUACCCUCGAAGACAAGCCACUCUGAGAAUCUUGGUUCCACUGGCCCUAUCUCAAAGAUCGGGUUUACGUGGAGAGUGGUUGGUCCCAUUGGUGUAAGUGCCAAUGAUUCCUGGAUGUGUCAACCCUGGAAAUCGUACUCCUGCCGUGCCGUGAUGUGAUGUUGUUAGAAUGUGAAUAAUCAACAGAACAUCUCAUCACAACAUGAUUGUGCUACUAAUCUGCUUGACAAAAAACAGGAUGAUGUUGUGCUCUAACCAGGAAUUUGAGGAGAGUAGGCAUAAAUCCCUUCAAAGUACCAAAUAGCUUUGGUCGCACAAGGGAAAUGGUCAGUCAAGAAACCACCGCCAUUCUCUCUAUCAAAUGAAGCAGUGAAUCCCCAUUCAUCUCCUGGAAGAGGACCCAAGUUGCAUAUCUCAACAGCAAGAAGAUCACCUGGCCUAGCUGCAACACCAUCCUCAUCCACAACUUUGAUCGGCCCACUCAGUAGAGAGGUCUAUGCUCUUAAUAUCGCCAGCAGAGCCAUCUUCUUUGACUGCACCUCCCGUCCAGUCAACCAUUUCCACCCUAAACAACUCAC
Molecule: long non-coding RNA, 1416 nt
Organism: Arabidopsis thaliana (thale cress)
Lineage: Eukaryota; Viridiplantae; Streptophyta; Magnoliopsida; Brassicales; Brassicaceae
Product: other RNA
Exons: 6
Source: RefSeq